UCCAUGGAGAGUUUGAUCCUAGCUCAGGAUGAACGCUGGCGGCGUGCCUAACACAUGCAAGUCGAACGGACCCCUUCGCGAUUCUUCGGAUGAGCGAGGAGGUCAGUGGCGAACGGGUGAGUAACACGUAGGUGACCUGCCCCGAAGUGGGGAAUAACCCCUCGAAAGGGGGGCUAAUACCGCAUGUGCUCCGUGAAGUUAGAGGGUCACGGAGUAAAGCUCCGGCGCUUCGGGAGGGGCCUGCGGCCGAUUAGCUAGUUGGUGGGGUAAUGGCUCACCAAGGCGAUGAUCGGUAGCUGGUCUGAGAGGACGAUCAGCCACACUGGCACUGAGAUACGGGCCAGACUCCUACGGGAGGCAGCAGUGAGGAAUAUUGCGCAAUGGGCGAAAGCCUGACGCAG
This 401-nucleotide ribosomal RNA is filed under the name Anaerolineae bacterium. Its description in RNAcentral is "bacterial SSU rRNA". It matches the Rfam family "Bacterial small subunit ribosomal RNA", at positions 1 to 391 of the family's 1533-position model. The record is from RNAcentral. Lineage: Bacteria; Bacillati; Chloroflexota; Anaerolineae.